GGGGACAUAGCUCAGAAGUGGAGUGUUUGCCUAGGAGGUAUAAAGCUUUGGGUUCAAUUCCCAGAAUCUCCC
Molecule: transfer RNA, 72 nt
Filed under: Ictidomys tridecemlineatus (thirteen-lined ground squirrel)
Lineage: Eukaryota; Metazoa; Chordata; Mammalia; Rodentia; Sciuridae
Description: Spermophilus tridecemlineatus (thirteen-lined ground squirrel) tRNA
Rfam family: tRNA
About the family: Transfer RNA (tRNA) molecules are approximately 80 nucleotides in length.
Source: Rfam by way of RNAcentral